CUGCUGCCUCCCGUAGGAGUUUGGGCCGUGUCUCAGUCCCAAUGUGGCCGGUCACCCUCUCAGGUCGGCUACUGAUCGUCGCCUUGGUGAGCCGUUACCUCUCCAACUAGCUAAUCAGACGCGGGUCCAUCUCAUACCACCGGAGUUUUUCACACCAAACCAUGCGGUUUUGUGCGCUUAUGCGGUUUUAGCAGUCAUUUCUAACUGUUAUCCCCCUGUAUGAGGCAGGUUACCCACGCGUUACUCACCCGUCCGCCA
This 258-nucleotide ribosomal RNA is filed under the name uncultured bacterium. Its description in RNAcentral is "partial 16S ribosomal RNA". The record is from RNAcentral.